RNAcentral lists this long non-coding RNA (904 nucleotides) under Homo sapiens (human). Its description in RNAcentral is "HSALNT0227142". The record is from RNAcentral. Lineage: Eukaryota; Metazoa; Chordata; Mammalia; Primates; Hominidae.
CUGGACUGCGGGUGUUCAGGCUUCGUUGGGUGGACGGGGGGAGCAUGGGGUGCUGGGCCUCGUGCGGGUCCCGCUGUACACCCAGAAGGACCGAGUCGGAGGCUUCCCCAACUUCCUGAGCAACGCCUUCGUGAGCACGGCUAAGUGCCAGCUCCUCUUUGCCCUCAAGGUGCUCAACAUGAUGCCCGAGGAGAAGCUGGUUGAGGCCCUGGCUGCAGCCACCGAGAAGCAGAAGAAGGCCCUGGAGAAGUUGCUCCCGGCCUCCUCUUGAGGGCUGCCUGAGCUGGUGGCACCCUCCCCUGGGCCGGAAGACUGGGAAUUCCUGCUAAGUGUGGCUUCUAGAGUGUUUGUGUGUACCCCGCUUCUGACUGCCUAGGGCGAGUGGGCAUCCUGUCAUCAUCUCCACUGUCCCAAGCAGUCACUAGGUGGCGGCCGGGCCAGCUGGAACCCAGCCCAUCCUCUCAGGCAGAGCAGGGUGGUCCGGGCACACUGGGCCUGCCUCUCCAGCCUCAGGAUGCUCUUGUUUAUUCUGGGCUCAGACCCUCCUCUUGUACGUCUCAUCACAGCUGGUAGAGACCCAGGAGUGCCUGAUUGUCCCACAGGGGUGGCGCACAGCUCUGGGACCACUCAGAAGAUGGGAUGUGUGGGUGGAGGAUGCCUUGUCUCGGUCAGCUCAUUCCUGCCUCCUUCCUGAGCCAGUUCAGGGCCUGGGGGAGAGCCAGCUUGGGGUAGGAAGUUAAUAAUACUGUUAAUUUGGGUUGUUGUUGGAUUUACUUUGCUAGAUUUUCUCUUUCACCACGUGUGAACUGUGGGUGAGGUUUCAAAGUAGCUUCACCCCACGUGGCUUGGUUCCCAGGGACAGUCAGGGCCUCGGGGGCCCAGCUAUGUACAACGAAGCUGUCGA